RNAcentral lists this ribosomal RNA (593 nucleotides) under uncultured bacterium. RNAcentral describes it as "bacterial SSU rRNA". It matches the Rfam family "Bacterial small subunit ribosomal RNA", at positions 1 to 634 of the family's 1533-position model. The record is from RNAcentral.
AAUUCACUAGUGAUUAGAGUUUGAUCAUGGCUCANAACGAACGCUGGCGGCAGGCUUAACACAUGCAAGUCGAGCGCCCCGCAAGGGGAGCGGCAGACGGGUGAGUAACGCGUGGGAAUCUACCUUUUGCUACGGAAUAACUCAGGGAAACUUGUGCUAAUACCGUAUGUGCCCUUCGGGGGAAAGAUUUAUCGGCAAAGGAUGAGCCCGCGUUGGAUUAGCUAGUUGGUGGGGUAAAGGCCCACCAAGGCGACGAUCCAUAGCUGGUCUGAGAGGAUGAUCAGCCACACUGGGACUGAGACACGGCCCAGACUCCUACGGGAGGCAGCAGUGGGGAAUAUUGGACAAUGGGCGCAAGCCUGAUCCAGCCAUGCCGCGUGAGUGAUGAAGGCCCUAGGGUUGUAAAGCUCUUUCACCGGUGAAGAUAAUGACGGUAACCGGAGAAGAAGCCCCGGCUAACUUCGUGCCAGCAGCCGCGGUAAUACGAAGGGGGCUAGCGUUGUUCGGAUUUACUGGGCGUAAAGCGCACGUAGGCGGACUUUUAAGUCAGGGGUGAAAUCCCAGAGCUCAACUCUGGAACUGCCUUUGAUACU